Long non-coding RNA from Paramisgurnus dabryanus, 595 nucleotides. RefSeq lists it as uncharacterized. NCBI's taxonomy places the organism in Eukaryota, Metazoa, Chordata, Actinopteri, Cypriniformes, Cobitidae. The record is from RefSeq and is a predicted model, not a curated record.
GGAAGACAGUCGUCAUAGCGAACCGUUGACGUCGCAGGUCCAGCGGCCAGCUGUUACAAAUCGCGUCACUCCCUCGCCAGCUGAUCGCAGACGCCGGUAAACGUGAGAGGAGGAACGGAGAAAUGACUUUAACAUUGAGGUUUAUAGUGGACCUGGAUGACUUGUGACUUUUGUUGAAUAUUGACUGACCUACAGCAGUUCUUCUCUGGCAAACUUUAUGACCGUGACCUGAUGCUAAAGCUGCCAGCUGAAGAACUGUUGUGGUCAGCUCUGUCCGUCUGAAACCGCUUCCGACCCUUUCCACUUUGGAUCAACUCCACUGUAAAUCUUUCUCUGUGGGACGUUGCCUAGAUUUUAGUGUCUUGUCAGAGGUUGACUUGUUUCUUUAUAGGUGGAUCUUUAGUGUUUCACUUUUUUUUUUUUUUUACAAAUCUGUGACAUUUAAAAAUUGAAUUAGUAAAAUGUAUGCAUUUCUGAAUUAAAUAUUUUGAAGAAAAUAGCAUUUUCUUUUUAGAUAUAGGUGAGUAAAGUUGACAAAACUGUCAUUGUUAAUCCAUUUAGAUUUUCUUUGCUACAAUAAAAUGUUUAAAGCUAA